CCGGAUCCAACAGACCUUCUAGUCUAUGUUGUUCGAGAAGAAACAAUGGAAUUUCAGUCGGCGUUCGAUUGUUCUAUUUAUGAACAAGGUAGGACCAUACAACCGGUACAAGCUUAAAACAAGAUUUCUAGUCAGAGCACUCGAGCGCCAUGGAAAAGCGACGGUAAUACAAACUUCAAAACACUCUAUAUCUGUCACAUCAUUUAUAUUUUGUUGGUUAUAUAUUCUACAAUAACAUGGAUAUGUUGCAUCUUACUUUUUUCAGAGAGAGAUUACAAUAUUGAAAGAAAUCCUUUUAUUUUAAGGCAAAAAUAAACUAAUUUGUAUUGUGGAGAGAAUAUUUUGUUCCGAUUCCUUUACAUGCAAAGCUAUCAACUAAGGAUGAAUAGGUUGGUGCUGAUAGCCUGAUACUAUUUUUGGAACUAUAUAUCUAAUAAUGAUCUUUGCUUUGCGUUUGGCUA
Momordica charantia (bitter melon) is the source of this 461-nucleotide non-coding RNA. NCBI's taxonomy places the organism in Eukaryota, Viridiplantae, Streptophyta, Magnoliopsida, Cucurbitales, Cucurbitaceae. The record is from RefSeq and is a predicted model, not a curated record.